GAUGGAGGGAGGACAUUUAAGUCCUAUAUUUUAUAUGCCUACUGCGAAUGGAAUUUAAGAGGUCUUUGGGGCUUGUGUUUGAAUUAGCAAUUCAUCAUUUAUUAAAUUUGUCAAAUUUAAGUGUUUGCUGUUGGAAACUAUCCUUUUGGGGGAUCUGGUAUUGCCUGGAAAGUAAUGGAGCUUACUAAUGUAUGCUGGCCAUGUCUUUUUAAGUUAGUUGAGCAAUGAAAUGAGAGACCCUUUUGGUUUUGAUGAAGGGAAUAUUUCAAGUCAUACACUGUUUGAAGAAAUGUUGGUUAAAAUUUUGUACUGGAGAUCACAUUGGGAUAUAGUUGUAUUUGCAGCCUAUUCUGAAUUUUAAUGCUUUAUCAGUUGAUUAGAAACUAUGGUUAGCGGCUACUAGGUAUUGGUGGGAUGCAGCACAAUGAUUUUUAUUUGAAGUACUGAAUGAUAUUUUAGAAACUACUGACCCUAUUGAGGUGGAUUUCUUUUUCUUUAGAGGGCAGUUUGGUGCAUAGAGAUCAAUCUUGCUUUCAUUCUCAAGCUUAGUUGGUGGUUUUGUGUAACCAUCUGAUGCAGGUUAUCUAGGUUAUGAAAAUUGGAGUUUAUCCAAAUCACACUAUACAAUGUUUGGUGGAUGGGUCCAAGAUCAGUAUUUGAAUGAGAUUCUGAAUGACUUGAAC
RNAcentral lists this unclassified non-coding RNA (683 nucleotides) under Hevea brasiliensis (rubber tree). Lineage: Eukaryota; Viridiplantae; Streptophyta; Magnoliopsida; Malpighiales; Euphorbiaceae. The record is from RNAcentral.